GACGAACCGAGCGACCGUUAUUCGGAAUCACUGGGCUUAAAGGGCGCGUAGGCGGGCCAUCAAGUCGGAGGUGAAAGCCCCCAGCUCAACUGGGGAAGUGCCCCCGAUACUGGCGGCCUCGAGGGAGAUAGGGGCGUGCGGAAUUUCCGGUGGAGCGGUGAAAUGCGUAGAUAUCGGAAGGAACACCGGUGGCGAAAGCGGCGCGCUGGAUCUCUUCUGACGCUGAGGCGCGAAAGCCAGGGGAGCGAGCGGG
RNAcentral lists this ribosomal RNA (253 nucleotides) under uncultured bacterium. Its description in RNAcentral is "partial 16S ribosomal RNA". It matches the Rfam family "Bacterial small subunit ribosomal RNA", at positions 524 to 776 of the family's 1533-position model. The record is from RNAcentral.